Molecule: long non-coding RNA, 1319 nt
Filed under: Homo sapiens (human)
Lineage: Eukaryota; Metazoa; Chordata; Mammalia; Primates; Hominidae
Description: HSALNT0264764
Source: RNAcentral
GGCCGCGGGGCCUGGAAGCAGCCUCCGGGAUCUGCAAGUCUGGAAAGGCCACGUUGUGGACCUUGGCGCAGAGGUUAUGGGGGCGACCCGGAGCGGAUGGUUUCAGGAAAACUAGAACCCACCCUCAUGGCCUGAACAACUGGAGAGAAGAGGAUCGCAGCAAUUUAAAGCCAGCGGCAAGGAUCACAGUCCUGGGGAAUCACCUGGCGGUCUUGUGAAACUGCAGCUUCUAAUGGGCAAGUCAGAGGGGAAGCCUGAGACAUGGCAUUUCCAGCACGUUCGGGGAGUGAAGAUGCUGUCGGCUGCCACCCUCCCUGCAAGGAGCCAGGGGAUAGAUGACCUCUACGCAAACUGUGAGAGCUUAAAAUAACUGAUAGUGAAAAACAGUUACAGAAGCUCUAGGCCGGGCACGGUGGCUAAUGCCUGUAAUCCCAGCACUUUGGGAGGCCGAGGAGGAUGGAUUGCCAGAACUCAGGAGUUUGAGACCAGCCUGGGCAACACGGUAAAACCCUGUCUCUACGACAAAAUAAAACAAACAAAAAUAAAAGCCACGCAUGGUGGCGUGUGCUUGUAGUCCCAGCUACUCAGGAGGCUCAGGUGGGACAAUCGCUUGAGCAUGGAAGGAGGAGGUUGCAGUGAGCCAAGAUCGCACCACUGUACUCCAACCUGAGUGACAGAGUGAGACCCAAUCUCAAAAAAAAAAAAAAGCAGUAAAUCCAGGGCCCAAAAGGUCAGUAAGAAUUCAGGGAUCCAAAUCAGUUAUGUACUGAUGCAUAAAAAUAAUGGCCAAAAAUGUGGAGGCUUAAAACAAAAACCGGUUAUUAUUUCUCUCAAUUCUUUGGGUUGCUGGUGUCACCCGGGCUUUGUGGCUGGGCUCUAGGCUCACCUGGGGUGAGGAAAAGUUGGUGCAUUUUGCUUUUUCAUCCUCAAAAAGUUUAGACCAGGUUCCAGAUUUCUUGCGGCGGCGAGACACCUCGCCAGGAGAGCACCGCACUAUGCACAAGCCUUUGCUGGACUUCCAUUGACCAAAGGCAGUCACAUGGUCACGCCCAGGCAAUGUGGGAGGGCCCCGCAAAGGAGGGGUGGGUACUCAAGAGAGCCACUAAAUAACAAACCUACCUUAAGAUCACAUUUAUUUCUAACAUUUUAAUAGUUAUAGUUCAGUAUAAUUGAUUUUCCUGGUAAUCCCAUUUAUUUUAUUUUAUGCAUUUUAAAAUGUUAUUCUGAAAAUGUUACUCUCACCAAACAACCAAAAGGGUCCACGGCAUAAAAAAGGUUUAAGAAUCUAUGAUUUUAAAAUUCAAUUGGAUGGAUAAAAG